AGGAGAAAACCCGUCAUCGGUUAGGAUGAACAUAUCAAGGAUUAAUCUCUCAGAAAGCAAUAGGGAUUACAACAACCUUUUUACUGGGUAGAAAACCACAAAAGGGGGGGGGGGAAUAUCCGUCAUGAUUUUAAGAUGAACAUAUCAAGGAUAGACUACCUGGGGAAACGUCAAAACGAAUCCUCUAGGGAAAAAUAAGAGGAAGUAGAUUAUAGUUAUCGGGUAUUGGGUAAGAGUAAGGUACUCGCAAAUCG
RNAcentral lists this long non-coding RNA (254 nucleotides) under Lathyrus oleraceus (garden pea). RNAcentral's name for it is "Pisum sativum (pea) long non-coding RNA (PSAT_LNC004787)". Lineage: Eukaryota; Viridiplantae; Streptophyta; Magnoliopsida; Fabales; Fabaceae. The record is from RNAcentral.